Molecule: ribosomal RNA, 1284 nt
Filed under: Peripatidae sp. UFMT 159
Lineage: Eukaryota; Metazoa; Onychophora; Udeonychophora; Euonychophora; Peripatidae
Also listed under: 2 other names
Description: bacterial SSU rRNA
Rfam family: Eukaryotic small subunit ribosomal RNA
Source: RNAcentral
CGCUUGUCUCAAAGAUUAAGCCAUGCAUGUCGUAGUACUUGCUUUUCCUUAUGAAAGAGCGAAACCGCGGACGGCUCAUUAAAUCGGUUACGGUUCACUCGCCCGUCCGCGUCCUGCUUUGUCAGGGCGUAGUCGGAUAACUGUGGUAAUUCUAGAGCUAAUACGUGCAACUUACGGCUUCCGAGAAAAUCGGGGGCUGGCAUUUAUUAGUCUGGCGUGCGCGACCUUUAAGGUUUCGCGCGCCUGACGGCUCUGAAUAACGGUGGCGGAUCGUCCUCUUCUGAGGACGACCGGGCUUUUGAGUGUCCGCCUUAUCAACUUUCGACGGUAGGUUCAGCGCCUACCGUGGUGGUUACGGGUGACGGGGAAUCAGGGUUCGAUUCCGGAGAGGGAGCCUGAAAGACGGCUACCACAUCCAAGGAAGGCAGCAGGCACGCAAAUUACCCACUCUCCGAAAGAGAGGAGGUAGUGACGAAAAAUAACGAUACGGGACUCUUAACGAGGCCUCGUAAUCGGAAUGAGACCGCUUCAAAUCCUCGAGACGAGGAUCUAUCGGAGGGCAAGUCUGGUGCCAGCAGCCGCGGUAAUUCCAGCUCCGAUAGCGUAUAUUAAAGUCGCUGCGGUUAAAAAGCUCGUAGUUGGAUUUGGGUCGACCGGGCCGCCGGGCCGCCGCCUCCGUGUGGCGAGUUCCCGUGUGUCCCCGGGACCGCACGUUCACCCCCGCAGUGCUCUUAACUGAGUGUCUGCGGUAGCGGGUGACCGAACGUUUACCUUGACAAAACCGGAGUGCUCGAGGCGUGGGCGUUCGCCGCCCGUACGUCCUCGCUGGGAAUAAUGGAAGAGGACCGUUGGUCAAAAAAGGUUUUUUGUCAGAGAGGUGGGAGAGCAAAAAAGAGGUUGUGCUGGUGGGGGGUUACAAAGGGGGGUGACUCCCUUUCCCCCUCUGGUCUUCCUCUUUCUCCUCCUCGAAACCUUCCUCCCCGCGUACAGCACUGUGGAUCGGCUGGCGCUUUAUGGCGGAAAGGGUGGAUCUAGAAAGAAGGGUGAAAGCAGGUGGCUGUUUGCCAGAUGGUGAAAACCGGAUGGCCGGUCGUUUGUGGAAGCCUGGAAUCUUUUUCCCCCUUGCUGUCGUGGUGCUUCCGUACCCUCGGUGUCAGCGGGAGGAGGUCGAAAAUCAAAAUAAAAAAACGUGUCAUGAUUAAGAGGGACGGCCGGGGGCAUUCGUACCGCGGCGCGAGAGGUGAAAUUCUAGGACCGUCGCGAGACGAACGAUAGCGAAAGCAU